Kogia breviceps (pygmy sperm whale) is the source of this 191-nucleotide small nuclear RNA. RefSeq annotates it as U2 spliceosomal RNA. NCBI's taxonomy places the organism in Eukaryota, Metazoa, Chordata, Mammalia, Artiodactyla, Physeteridae. The transcript has a single exon. The record is from RefSeq and is a predicted model, not a curated record.
AUCGCUUCUCGGCCUUUUGGCUAAGAUCAAAUGUAGUAUCUGUUCUUAUCAGUCUAAUAUCUGAUACGUUCUCUACACGAGAACGACGUGUUAAACGGAUUUUUGGAGUGAGGAGUCGGAGUAGGAGCUUGCUCCGUCCGCUCCGCGCAUCGACUUGGUAUUGCAGUGUUUCCAGGGCUGGUGCACAGCAC